AGCACAAAGGUUUGGUCCUGACUUUACUGUCAGCUUUAGCUAGAUUUACACAUGCAAGUAUCCGCCCCCCUGUGAGGAUGCCCUUAGUACCCUUCUCGGGCACAAGGAGCCGGUAUCAGGCACACAACACAUGUAGCCCACAACACCUUGCUUAGCCACACCCCCAAGGGAAUCCAGCAGUGAUAAAUAUUAAGCCAUAAGUGAAAACUUGACUUAGUUAAAGCUAAGAGAGCCGGUAAAACUCGUGCCAGCCACCGCGGUUAUACGAGAGGCUCAAGUUGACAGACAACGGCGUAAAGCGUGGUUAAGGAAAAUAUGUAACUAAAGCGGAACCUCCUCCUAGCUGUUAUACGCUUCCGAGGAAGUGAACCCCAACUACGAAAGUGGCUUUAUCCAACCUGAACCCACGAAAGCUAAGAAACAAACUGGGAUUAGAUACCCCACUAUGCUUAGCCUUAAACAUUGAUUGUUUACUACAUCAAACAUCCGCCUGGGAAUUACGAACAUUAGUUUAAAACCCAAAGGACUUGGCGGUGCUUAACAUCCACCUAGAGGAGCCUGUUCUAGAACCGAUAAUCCCCGUUUAACCUCACCCCCCCUAGCUUUUUCCGCCUAUAUACCACCGUCGCCAGCUUACCCUGUGAAGGACUAAUAGUAAGCACAAUCGGCACAGCCCAGAACGUCAGGUCGAGGUGUAGUGAAUGGGAGGGGAAGAAAUGGGCUACAUUCGCUGCCCACAGCGAACACGAAUGCUACACUGAAACAUGUAGCUGAAGGAGGAUUUAGCAGUAAGCAGAAAGCAGAGUGUUCCGCUGAAGCCGGCUCUUAAGCGCGCACACACCGCCCGUCACCCUCCCCAAGCAACUGGACCUAAAAUUUCUUUAAACCCUAACAACCGCGAAGGAGAGGAAAGUCGUAACAUGGUAAGCGUACCGGAAGGUGCGCUUGGUUAAAC
This 955-nucleotide non-coding RNA is filed under the name Caranx sexfasciatus (bigeye trevally). RNAcentral describes it as "partial 12S ribosomal RNA". It matches the Rfam family "Bacterial small subunit ribosomal RNA". The record is from RNAcentral. Lineage: Eukaryota; Metazoa; Chordata; Actinopteri; Carangiformes; Carangidae.